This 404-nucleotide ribosomal RNA is filed under the name uncultured bacterium. RNAcentral describes it as "bacterial SSU rRNA". It matches the Rfam family "Bacterial small subunit ribosomal RNA", at positions 355 to 774 of the family's 1533-position model. The record is from RNAcentral.
UGGGGAAUAUUGCACAAUGGGGGAAACUCUGAUGCAGCGACGCCGCGUGAGUGAAGAAGGUCUUCGGAUCGUAAAACUCUGUCCUUGGUGACGAAAAAAAUGACGGUAGCUAAGGAGGAAGCCCCGGCUAACUACGUGCCAGCAGCCGCGGUAAUACGUAGGGGGCGAGCGUUGUCCGGAUUUACUGGGCGUAAAGGGUGAGUAGGCGGUAAUAUGUGUCAGAUGUAAAAGGCUAUGGCUUAACCAUAGUUAGCAUUUGAAACUGUAUUACUUGAUUGCAGGAGAGGUAAGUGGAAUUCCUAGUGUAGCGGUGAAAUGCGUAGAUAUUAGGAGGAACACCAGUGGCGAAGGCGACUUACUGGACUGUAACUGACGCUGAGUCACGAAAGCGUGGGUAGCAAACA